Long non-coding RNA from Columba livia (rock pigeon), 541 nucleotides. RefSeq lists it as uncharacterized. The transcript has 2 exons. Lineage: Eukaryota; Metazoa; Chordata; Aves; Columbiformes; Columbidae. The record is from RefSeq and is a predicted model, not a curated record.
UACCUAAAGCACUGUAAAACCAUCCCAGACAUAUGUGAGAAGAAAAUUUGAAUGUUUCCCACUUCAGAGAGAGGUUAGAAAUGGAACAAAGGCUGAUCUGGAAACUACUAAAGAAAAUGGCACAGCACAAGUAGCCAUGUCCCAAAGGUGCUUACAGACUGAAGAAUCAAGAACUAAUAGCUCAUCGUCUACAUAAGCAAAACUUUAGCCCUCAUGCAAGCAGCUGUUAUUUUCCUUGAGAUAACAGAUAUUGGCCUGGAUUUCUCAAAAAACGUCUGAAAAGUGCCAAUGAAGUCUUACGGUGGGAUUUCACACAAUAUCUGGCUGAACCAAUACUGCUGGAUUACAACCUGAACUGUGCUGUGGUAUUCCAUUUUGCUCCUUCAUCAAUGGUCAUAAUAGACCAUAUCCAGAACAGCCUAUUUCAUCUCAGGACUUUCUGGUCCUAAAUAAACGUGUGUUACCAAAAGAAUUAUGCCUGUUUGAAACAUAUGAGAAGACACAAGAGGCAGAGCUUAUAAAUAAAACUGUUUUACAGAAA